UACGGAGGGAGCUAGCGUUGUUCGGAAUUACUGGGCGUAAAGCGCACGUAGGCGGCUUUGUAAGUUAGAGGUGAAAGCCCGGGGCUCAACUCCGGAACUGCCUUUAAAACUGCAUCGCUAGAAUUGUGGAGAGGUAAGUGGAAUUCCGAGUGUAGAGGUGAAAUUCGUAGAUAUUCGGAAGAACACCAGUGGCGAAGGCGACUUACUGGACACAUAUUGACGCUGAGGUGCGAAAGCGUGGGGAGCAAACAGG
This 253-nucleotide ribosomal RNA is filed under the name uncultured bacterium. Its description in RNAcentral is "partial 16S ribosomal RNA". It matches the Rfam family "Bacterial small subunit ribosomal RNA", at positions 524 to 776 of the family's 1533-position model. The record is from RNAcentral.